Molecule: transfer RNA, 73 nt
Filed under: Dryococelus australis
Lineage: Eukaryota; Metazoa; Arthropoda; Insecta; Phasmatodea; Phasmatidae
Description: tRNA-OTHER
Rfam family: tRNA
About the family: Transfer RNA (tRNA) molecules are approximately 80 nucleotides in length. Their secondary structure includes four short double-helical elements and three loops (D, anti-codon, and T loops).
Source: RNAcentral
GCCCCUGUGGCCUAAUGGAUAAGGCAUCGGUCUCCUAAACCGGGGAUUGUGGGUUCGAGUCCCACGAGGGGUA